GGAAGUAAAGUCGUAACAAGGUCUCCGUUGGUGAACCAGCGGAGGGAUCAUUACCGAGUGCAAACUCAUAACCCUUUGUGAACCUAUAUCUGUUGCUUCGGCGGCUCGCUCUCGGGCGAGCCCGCCGGUAAUAUCAGUAUCUCUGUUUGAACCCGACGAUACUUCUGAGUGUUCUUAGCGAACAGUUAAAACUUUUAACAACGGAUCUCUUGGCUCUA
Molecule: unclassified non-coding RNA, 218 nt
Filed under: plant metagenome
Description: partial contains small subunit ribosomal RNA, internal transcribed spacer 1, and 5.8S ribosomal RNA
Rfam family: Eukaryotic small subunit ribosomal RNA (bases 1-53)
Source: RNAcentral